UCCACCAGGCAGGUAGUCAGCAACAGCGGGCACUGUUGGCAGAGACAAGAACCCUCUUGCUUUCCUUCCUGGAGAAGGGACUUGAGUGUCACACUUGCUCCCUGGCCGGGAGAAGACCUGGCAGAGAGGAUCGGCAAGCCAUGGGCAUUUUGCACUCCCAGAAACUUCCCCACCACCUGGUCAAGCCAAUUCGAUGACUAUUGUUUCUGGAUGUGGGCUGGAAGACAGGCAGAGGUAUCUCAGGCUGUCUGGAACCUUCAGCAGGGAGGAGGGCAAGCUGCCUGCUUGCUCCUCAGCUCUCUCUUUCUCAAGGGCUUCAGGAAGCUGGAGAGAUUCAGAGGUGGUUUCUUCCCCUUUCUUGAAAGUGUGGCUAAAAAUAAAAAGAGUACUGAAACCAAGCCCAGCCCACGAAGCAGUGUGUAGGUGUGAUGCUAACCAACACCUGGGGCUGUGAAGCGUCCCAGGGGAGCUGGCAUCCAUCUGGUAGACAUGUUGGCUCUUUCUCCUCAUUCUUUCCUUGGCACCUUUUCAAAGAGCACACGAGAUGAUGAAUCUAAUGUCGUUUUGUUUGAAAAUGCCCUACACAUAUUGUUACGGUUAUAAGGAGAAGAGGACAACAACAGGACAGUGGUUUUCAUUUGCAAAACCUACCAGGACCCUCAGGCUGCUACUGUGCUCUCUGCUUUUAUUUCAUGGCUGAAGGUUUCUAGAGGUGGCUGGUAGAAAAUGGUGAAGGCAGAUAGUUCGUCAUGGUGAAAAACCAGGAUGUCUCUGAGGUUUUGCUCUUGGUAGAGGUAAAUAGACCAGCGGACAACAUGCGGUGCACAGCGGUGAGUUCUUGGACGGACCUGGGUGGCAAAGGGGGAAGGUUAAAUGGAAAGGAUCUGCUCCAAGUGUCGUGAAACCUCAGCUCAAGACCUGAAAGGAAGGGUGCCGUGGCAGUUGACUUGUUAUAGGUUCUCUGUGGCAGGGCAAUGUGGACGUGCCAGCCCCAUGGUGAACCCUUCACUCACACCCUCUCAGAGUGUGCAUGGGUAGGUUUUGUGUGUGUGAUGGGGAGACAUAGGUCCUCCCUGAAGAUGGAGGAUUUGUAGGGCCUUGCCAUAGUGAGAAAAGUCAUAAAACAUGUGCAUGCCACUGCCACAGUCUCCCCAGAAGACCCGUGCCUCCACUCUGCCAUAGCAAAGGGGAUUGGGGCAGGGUGGGCAUUAACAUACUGAUCCUUACACAGCCUUGAGAGCUACAGCUAUGGUGGGUGAAGGGCUGUAGUGGACAAACACGGACUUAGUGUCACCUGUAAUCAGCAGAGAUUGGCAUUUGGGUAUGGAGGGAAUUUGCCACUGUUGGGUUCAGUAAAUUGCUUGGUGAUACUGUGACCUUGGAGCAGCUGAUAAGGAUAUGGCCUUUGCAUGGCCAGGAGGAGCUGUGUGCAGCCUUAGGGAUGGGAGCAUUACCUUGCGAUGCAAAAAAGCCUGAGGUUUGGUGGCUAAAGGUAGCGCAGGCGGGACUGUGCACAUACAAGAUGAGUUUUAUGAGGUGCAUUGGUCUGCAAUAGCCUACUCGGGCGCAGGGUCCCAGCUACUGCAGCCAGCUGAGAGGCAGUAAUUCCCCUUUUCGCCCUACGUUCUCCAUCCCCAAUGCCUUUGGUAGGACUAGGAAAUGGUAGGAAAGAAAGUAUCCUCAGAGCAAGCCAAGUCAUGGAGCAGCAAAGCUGGAAGGAGGGCUGUGAAAACCCAGGUGGGAACCAAACGGGCUGUACUUCCAGUGGCAAAUUCUCAGAGAUGGGCUUCCAGGGGCAGUCCUGGAUAGUGUUGCCUACGGACACCAGCAAAACAAAAAGCCAUGAACGUUGCCUAGACCCCGCAUUAACGUCCUUUCCCACUAUCCACAACCUCUGCUGAUGUAAAUAUGCAGCUGGAAGCAGUUUAUUCCCUGUCAGCCCUUUCCUGCUUAUCUGGAGCCAGCGGCGAGAGCAGGAGCCGCUCUCGCAGAGGGACCCUGCAAAUCCUCGGACGAACGCCUGGACCGAGCGCUGUUUCCCAGGGGGAUCGAGGAGGAGGAUGUGAUUAGUGUUUUCUGCCAUGGGAUGUCAGCUGAGGGAUGAGAACCAUGUGCCAAGAGGAGGAAAGAGCUGCCACGGAUGGAUGGAUAUUCUUCUCCGCACCUCACCUGACAUCCAGCGGAGGCAAAGAAAUAAAUGCAUGGAUCCAGGUAUUGCCUGCUGCUGGGCUGGUAUCACAAGCACUCCGGAGCAGUAACAAGAGUGCUGGCACCACAGAUUUCACCUUUAAUUUAAACCGUCCUUUUUAGGGACGGGGCCAGAGCUGGCCCUGCAAGGGAGAAUCCAGCUCCAAACACUCCAAGGAAGCAAACAGACCCUUUAAAGACAUUUAAUGCUGAUGAAAGCAGGGAGGGAUUCAACGUAAAGCCACAAAACCAAUUUUGAGGAAGAAAUGCAGCUUGUCUCCUGUUCCCCAUCCUGCAAACUGAAAGGGAGAGGCUGUCCAUCACUGCCUGUCGUUUCGGGUCAGCAUCCCAGGCAAGGGCAGCAUCCCUGGGUGCUCAACGGACUCUUUGAGUGUGGUUCUGUUUAGGUUGGCCACCGCUGAUCCCAGCCUGUCUUCGGCACACGGACGCUUUUAAGCCCUCGGGGAGGGGUCGGCGUGGCCAGCCAGAGGGGGAGAGCGCCAGCCCACUGCACACUCCGCGGCUGCCGAGGACACUGCUGCGAUUCAUUCAUGUCCCCGCUCAGGGCACAGACUGUAAACACGGCAGGGAAGCCAGGCCACGUCCCAGCCCAGCUUGGCUGCCUGCCUCGUCG
Chroicocephalus ridibundus (black-headed gull) is the source of this 2821-nucleotide long non-coding RNA. RefSeq lists it as uncharacterized. The transcript is spliced from 3 exons. The record is from RefSeq and is a predicted model, not a curated record. Lineage: Eukaryota; Metazoa; Chordata; Aves; Charadriiformes; Laridae.